CCCCUCGGGGUCGCGGAUGCUAAUGACUAUUCAGUUUUCUAGACUGAUCCUUCUAAAGCUUAUGCAAAAAAGAAAAAGGAAGGAAAGAGAAAGAAAAGAAAAAAGAACCAACAACUCUGUUUCUAAGAUUUUAAAGCGAUAGACCAGAUGGAGAAGCCGAGAUUGACUUGGGGGAAAGCAAGAGUGCGUGAAGCCGACCCAGCGUUUGGAAGACCAGCCCGCCCGCUUGGAUGUUGGACUGUUGAUUCCUUCAGUUAAUGAAAUGCAUUUGGUGUUAAUCAUAUUUAUCUUAUUUUAUGGGAGGGGGGGACGCUAGGAGGGUGCAUUUAAAAAAAAAAAAUUCUGAAAAGCCUGCAAAACGAUCGAAGAGUGAAAACUAUUGUUGGACCGACUUGGUUUUUACCUCAACAGCGCCACCUUUCGGCAAAGAGAUGUGGAAAAGCCAGAUGUUUUCUCAAGUGAGAAUUCCCGGGACAGCCUCCCAGAUUGCUCCAGCUUCCCUCCCUUCCUCACCCGACAAAGACACCCAGUGUGGCCUGGCAGACAGGAGGUGAUUGAUAAUAGCUCUGUGCAUACACCGACAUUUGAACGAAAGGACUUCUUCGGGGUUUAGGCACCAGAUGGAGAUCCAAAAUGAUGAGGCCUCUUUCCUACUCUCGCCAUUCCAAAUCAACAGAUUUCCAUGCUUGUUGGUUUUUUUUCCCCUUCUUUCCUUUUUUCAGGCCAUGGACAUCUCCCUAGCUUUUUUCUUUUCCUUCAGUUAGGAACCACUUGCAAUUCACCAUUCCAUUGUUACCCUUUUUGAUCCUACUCACAGCUAUACCACGGAGGGAACUUGUCUCGAAAGCAUUCAACCCUUCAAAGAUUUACUGUGCUGAAAUCAGAACGGAUUUUUUUAAAAAGGCAGGAAUAAAGAAACGGACCUGAUAUCGGGACAGUGUUGGUUCAGGAUGUGUCUUCCGUGCAGGGGAAGCCAGGGGACAUGCUGGUGGUACUGCUGCCUCUGUAGAGUUUUGGUCACUCUCCUUCCUCCCCCUGGGUCUGGGGUGAUUCUUAGGUCCUGUGCCAGAGGCAUUUAGCAGCCACUCGACCUGGGAGCUGGAACCUGGAGUUCUGGAAAACACAAACCAAACUUAAAUAUGUGUGUGCUGACUGGAAGAGUCUGCUGAUGCAGAUGAUUUCUGAAUCUGUGUAUUUCUCAGUUUGUUUGGCUGGACCUGAGAGAAGAGAUCCCUUGUGGCCUGUGUUAUAUCUUUGUUCUUGGUUGCAUCAUGGGUUUUGCUGAGCUUUCUCACGUGUUGUUCUGUGCACUGAAAACACCAAACUCGCCCAGUGACACCCUCACGGCAUUAUCCAUCAUGGCAGUGUUGCUGGUUGGACAAACAGAGAACUGAGUGAAACAACCCCGCCCCUACCCCCAAUAAAAAUGAAAGUCCAAUUUA
Molecule: long non-coding RNA, 1442 nt
Organism: Eubalaena glacialis (North Atlantic right whale)
Lineage: Eukaryota; Metazoa; Chordata; Mammalia; Artiodactyla; Balaenidae
Exons: 2
Source: RefSeq, a predicted model, not a curated record